CCUACGGGAGGCAGCAGUGGGGAAUUUUGGACAAUGGGCGCAAGCCUGAUCCAGCAAUGCCGCGUGCAGGAAGAAGGCCUUCGGGUUGUAAACUGCUUUUGUCAGGGAAGAAAUCUUCUGGGCUAAUAUCCCGGGAGGAUGACGGUACCUGAAGAAUAAGCACCGGCUAACUACGUGCCAGCAGCCGCGGUAAUACGUAGGGUGCGAGCGUUAAUCGGAAUUACUGGGCGUAAAGCGUGCGCAGGCGGCUUUGCAAGACAGAGGUGAAAUCCCCGGGCUCAACCUGGGAACUGCCUUUGUGACUGCAAGGCUAGAGUACGGCAGAGGGGGAUGGAAUUCCGCGUGUAGCAGUGAAAUGCGUAGAUAUGCGGAGGAACACCGAUGGCGAAGGCAAUCCCCUGGGCCUGUACUGACGCUCAUGCACGAAAGCGUGGGGAGCAAACAGGAUUAGAUACCCUGGUAGUCCACGCCCUAAACGAUGUCAACUGGUUGUUGGACGGCUUGCUGUUCAGUAACGAAGCUAACGCGUGAAGUUGACCGCCUGGGGAGUACGGCCGCAAGGUUGAAACUUAAAGGAAUUGACGG
Molecule: ribosomal RNA, 585 nt
Filed under: uncultured bacterium
Lineage: Bacteria
Description: bacterial SSU rRNA
Rfam family: Bacterial small subunit ribosomal RNA
Source: RNAcentral